Long non-coding RNA from Cyprinus carpio carpio, 312 nucleotides. The record is from Ensembl. Lineage: Eukaryota; Metazoa; Chordata; Actinopteri; Cypriniformes; Cyprinidae.
UGUGUGUUUAGUCCGGGGCUGUUGAGUGAUGUGUUCAGGCUGUGAACAGCAGCACCUGUGUGUCGGUGUGGGAUAAAUGAGCAGUGCUGUGAUACUCUCCUGGAUCUGAUCUCUCCACUGGGACCCUCAGGACUGACGCAGCGACCCCGCUUAAGCCACCAGCUUUCUGUCAGGUUUCUAUGAGUCUGUGCUUGUGGACUUUGAUUUCUAAUAGUCUGAAAGCAUUUUUCUGUGAGUCCAACCAUCUUGAAACUGGUGUCUGGCAACUGUGCAGGCAUUUGAGCAGAUACAGAGAGAGCUGUGAAAUCCCAU